GACUGAAAACAUGUUUUAUUCUGUAAAGGAAAAAUUCAAACCUAAAGCCAUACACCAGAAUGGUGCUGGUUUUGUUGGCCAUUCAUGGCAACAAAACGCCGAGUCACUCUGACUCAUUGACUGAAGUAAAAUGUGGGGUGGCAAUUAGGUACAACGCAUUCUUUCUCUUACAGGUCACUCCAAAGGUCUCCGUCAUGUCAAGUUCGUCUGGAUUCAUCUCAUUCGCCAGUUUCCAAUCGAAGCGGUAGAGCAAUUCAGCAAGAGCAAGUUCAACCAUGGUAACACCAAAUAACAUGCCUGGACACAUUCUUCUGCCGGCCCCAAACGGGGUGAACUCAAAGUCAAAACCCUUAAAGUCAACAGAAGAACAUUGAAACCUCUCCGGCUUAAAACACUCAGCAUCUGCCCCCCAUAUCUCUGGGUCUCUUCCCAUUGCCCAUAGAUUAAUAAUUACUUUUGAUUUAACUGGUAAUUCGAACCCGCCAAUUUGAACCGUGUCCCUUGCUUCUCUUGGGAGCAAAGGGGCUGGAGAGUGUAACCUCAGAGUUUCUUUCACCACCGAUUUCAAGUAGUCCAUUUUUUGAACAUCUCUUUCUUCAAUAACUUUUCUUUUUUUCCCUUCAAAUUGGAGGACUGACCGUCUCACUUCAGCUUGAGCCCUCUUCAUGAUUCUUGGGUUUCUCAUCAACUCUGACAUUGCCCAUUCUAAGGUAGUAGCUGAAGUCUCGCUUCCUGCAGAGAACAUGUCUUGCACAUAAAAAAAAAAAAAUUCACUUAGUUAGACAGUAAGAACGACAUUGAUGUGUGGGACAAAAUGUGCAGCAUGAUAAUAAUUGAUUUUCAAUUUGCGGAACCAAAAUCAUGAGUUUUGAAAACAUGAGCAACCAUUUGUGACAGAACCCCUUCAUAUAAUUUUAUAAAAUGAUGAGUGACGACGAAGAAAAAAAUGUCUGCAGUACAAGGCAAGCCUACAUUACUCACCAUAAUCAUAUCUUUGAUAUGAUUGGUUGUGAAAUUGAACUCCACCUUGUUGGACUCUUUAAGUUUUAGAAGUACGUCAACAAAAUUUUCCUCCUCCUCCACUGCUUUGUCAUUGCUUUUGAUUUUAUGAUCGUUGAUGAUACGUUCGAGAAUCGUAUUGAGCUUGCUUUUUAUGUCUUUGAGAGCAGGGAUCGACCCAGUAAUGAAAACAAGAAAACUGAGUGAAGGAAACAAAUCAGGAAUAUCAAAUCCACUACCAAGUUUGAGUAUUUCGUCUAGUAGCGAAAGGAACUCCUUUUGGUCUUUGCAUUUUUUCCCAAAUGCUGCCUUCGACACUACGCCACUUGUGAAGCUGCAGCACCUGUCCCUAAAAUUGAUGGCAAGCCCCUCGUGAGACAUUGAGCCAGUGGACUCAAUAAGAUUCCGUACCUCUUCUUCUCUUACGGAUCUGAAAGACUGCACACGUGUCGCGCUCAGUAGCUCGAAAACACAAAUCUUUCUCAGCGAUCUCCAUCAAUAUUUUACCUAAUGGUAUAAGUAUAAAGUCGUUGUCCACUUAUGUUAUAACACACAAAUUAAUAUAUAGCUUGCAUAUAUUCAAGUGUCAAUCAAUAAUUGAUCAAUUUUAAUGUGAUCAAAUUGAUUGGUAUUAAAAUUAGGCCUUUGGUUAAUAUAUUUGUGAAUAUGUUCAAAAAAAAAAUUGUGAAUAAUAAUGUAUAAAAUGAGCUUAUCUAAUAUAAUUUUUCCCUAAAAAAUUGUCAGCAUAUUUAUAGAUUAUUUGCCCCUUCCACUAACAGUAACACUCUAAACUUAUUUUCAAGAACCUCUUUUCACACUAAUACAGUAUGGUGCAUGGCAUCUUUCAUGUUAAUAAAAUCAAGCGUAGUAGCGUUCUACGAUUCAAAUAGUCAACCUUACUUAGUGAGAUAAGGCUUUGUUAUUGUUAUUUCAUGUUGAUUAAGUAGUGGUCUAAAUUUUGAACUAAUUGUCACAUGUCGUCUUUGUUGAGCAAAAAAAAUUGUACAUAAUAUGUAAACAAAUAAUUCACUCGACACAAUUUCACCCUCGUUCAUUUCUUGAAGAGGGUUUUAUUAAUUCAAGUUCAACCCAUUCUAGGCUACACGCCUAUUAAUUACAACCCUUCCUUUGGGAAAGGAACACCCUUUGAUUCUAAUAUGAAUAAAUCGUAUCUUGGGGAUUUGGAGUGUUUAUUUGAUUUUGUGACUGUAUCUAGGUAGAACCCUAGAUUGCCUACGUACCCUCGUUGAGGGAUCAAGUCACUCGUAGUUCCUUGUAUGCUUGAUACUUGUUUGGAUUUGAUGCCUUAUGCAGUUUUAGCUCAUGCAGGCGAGGACUUUAAGCCAUUGGAGCAUUAAUGCCUUGUGCAGUUUUAGCUCAUGCGGGCGAGGAGCAUUAAUGCCUUGUGCAGUUUUAGCUUAUGCGGGCGAGGAGCAUAUGUGGCUUCGUGCCAUUUAAGUCUUGUCACGGCUUCGUGCCCUUUUGAUACGGCUUCAUGCCAUUGAGAUUUGUUGCGGCUUCAUGCCCUUUGAUACUUGAUACGGCUUCGUGCCUUUUGAUACUUGAUACGGCUUCGUGCCUUUGAGAUUUGUUGAGGCUUUGUGCCCUUUGAAAAUUUUUCUUCGACUUCGUGCCAUUUUGGUAUUUGAUAGCAGGAGUGAAUUUAGUUUAUAUAAACCAGGGAUUCGUUUCAGCUUCACGGUUGCGUCUAAAAUUUUGAUAUCAGACUGCCUACGUAUCCUUAACGGAAUCAAACCGGCGUAGUUCAUUAAUGCUUGAUUUGGAUUUGCAUUCUUUUGUUUAGACUUGGCAAAAUGAGAAGUUGAUUGGGUAUUGAGACUUGGCAAAAUGAGAAGUCAAUUGGACUUGUUUGAAACCCAUACAUGACCUUUGGUAAUAUCCAAUAGAUCUUUGUGAAAUGGGACUUCACUUUUUUCUUCAAGUAGCAACCCACAUGGGAUGCGCAGUACAAAGUAAAUAGGACUUUGUCCUUUCCUUGAGUAGAAGGUAGGAUUCACGCCAUAUGGACUGAAAAGGCAUUUAAACAGCCUUUUAUUUUUGGUUGGUUGAAGGGCUUCCCUCGUGUUAUAAAUCCUUAGUGAAUUAGGAUUCAUCUUUGCAUGGCUUUUCCACACGGUUCGGAAAAGGUUUGAUCCAUAUAACUUCUUGUGAUGCAUGUUCUUUGAGGGUUCCACGUAAGUACCGUCCCUAAUUAAUUUGUGAAGUUUGUUUACAGCAAACUUCUUGUUUCUUCUUUUUUUUUUUUUUUUGGCUUUUCCACCCCAUUUAAAUAUGGGACUUUGAACCCAUUUGAUUCAAAACCUUCUGACAGCAAGCUUUUCUCUUCAUUGUUUUUUUUUUAUAUGAUUUUAAAGCUUCCAAGUUCCAAUAAGACUUGAAAGUUCGAAAUCCUCUCUCCCUCUUCAUGUGAGGUGCAGCCUUUAUUCACCCCUUCUUUUUUUGUUUGGUGUUGCUUUCAUCCAAGUGAUGCUUCCUUCCAUCCUUUUUUUAUUUCUCGGACAAAAGACAUAAAGACAACAACUGACAACUUUCAGAGGUCUUUGUCCUAUUUUUUUUUUUUUGCAGAGCCAAUGGUUAUUUGAAGUAUGCUAUUGUUGGGGCUUUUGUAAUUGUAAGAAGACACCUUUUUCUUUUUGACUUAGUAAUCUCUCCUUCUUGUGACUAACGAUGAUGGGUAGUACGGAGAUGCAAUUUUGGGCCAACAUCGACGGAGCCUUUGAGGAGUGUAGAUUUGUUAGUGUUUUGGAAGGUUUAUAUUUUGUAGAAAUGUUCUUGACAGGGUUUUUGGUUAUGGAAAAACACAGAAAUGUAAGGAGGGAUUUCGGCUAUUGCAGUCUGCUCUCUUAGCAACUCAUAGCAAACAUAUAUAUAUGCUAUCAGUAGGGUUUUGGUAUACAAGGUCAGAUCUUAUCUCCAUUGGAGCUAGUUGACAAAAACCACAACUACCAUAUAGUACUAAGCUAAUCUAAGCCCUUCACUGGAGCUUUUAAUCUAAGCCCUACACUUGUAAAAAAGCAUUACUUAAAAACAACUAGCCGUUACAAAACUAGCCGUUAGCAUGUUGCUGCUUCAUUUCUUCGAUCAAACUGGAAGUGUUUAGCAUCCAACACUCCCCUCUAAACUCUUCCUGGUGUUGACUCCAAGCAGGCUUCGAAGGUAUGUGAACCUCUCUUUUGGUAAUGCCUUUGUAAAAAUGUCUGCCAUCUAAUCUUCAGUUCUGCAAUACAUUAAUUCAAUGACAUUUUCUUGUAGUGCAUCUCUGAUAAAGUGAUACUUCCUCUUUAUGUGCCUUGUUUUCUGAUGAAAAACUGGAUUUCUUGUCAUUGCUAUAGCUGAGGUAUUAUCACACAUUAGCUUAGUUGGUUCAACUUGCAUUUCUCCAAAAUCUUUUAGAACAAAUCUCAGCCAGAUUGCUUGAGAUGUUGCUUCUGCAGCACUCACAUACUCAGCUUCGGCGGUUGAUAGUGCAACACUUUGUUGCUUGACCGAGGCCCACGAGAACACACCAGAGCCAAAUGUAAAAGCAUAUCCCGAUGUGCUUUUCAUAUCAUCUUCACUACCUCCCCAGUCACUAUCACAGAAACCAACCAGAAUAGCUGAUUGUCCUUUUUCAUAUUUGAUUCCAAAAUCAAUUGUUCCUUGCACAUACCUGAGUACUCUUUUUGCAGUUCCCAAGUGUAUUUUGGUAGGACUAUGCAUGAAUCUUGAGAGCAGGCUUGCAGCAUACAUAAUGUCUGGCCUUGUUGCUGUGAGGUAUAACAGGCUGCCAACAAUUUUCCUGUAGAGAUUUGCAUCCACUAACUCACUUCCAUCCUCACUCUUGAGCUUCUCAUUUGCAAUUAAGGGAGUGCUUACUGGUUUGCAUCCCUUGAGUCCAAAUUUGUUCAACAAUGUAUGUGCAUAUUUCAUUUGAUGAAUGAAAAUGCAAUCUGAUUUUUGAAUCACCCCCAUUCCAAGAAAGUGGUGAAGUAACCCCAAAUCUGUCAUCUCAUAUCUUCUCAUCAUUUCAUUUCUAAAUUCAUCCACCAUUUUCUUACUGUUUCCAGUAAAAAACACAUCAUCCACAUAGAUGGACACAAUGAGAGUUUCUGACUUGUUCUCAACCUUGGUAUAGAGUGUUGCUUCAUUGAGGCUUUUCUUGAAUCCACACUUAGUGAAAUGUGCAUCAAUCUCACUGUACCAGGCUCUUGGUGCUUGCUUCAGGCCAUAGAGUGCCUUCUUUAAUCUAUACACUUUGCUUUCGGACCCUUUGACUUCAAAACCUUGUGGCUAGUCCACAUAGACCUCUUCCUCUAGUACACCAUUCAAGAAAGCAGACUUGACAUCUAACUGAUAUAGUUGCCAACCCUUCUGUGCAGCUAAUGCAAUUAGUGUCCUGAUUGUAUCUAGUCUAGCCACAGGUGCAAAUGUUUCAUUAAAGUCAAUUCCAGGCUUUUGAGAGUAGCCUUUAGCCACUAAUCUAGCCUUGUUCCUCUGUACUGAUCCAUCCAAGUUCAACUUGGUUUUUAUAGACCCACUUCACACCUAUCACAGGUUUAUCACUUGGUCUGUCCACCAGAGUCCAAGUUUCAUUUUUCUCUAUCAUUGAGAUUUCAUCUCUCAUUGCUAUCUGCCAUGACUUGUCAUUUUCAGCCUCUUCCAAAGGUCUCUGGUUCAAUAACACAGAAAUUGCAUGCUGCAUAGAUUUCUUCUAGGCUUCUCAUUUUAAUUGGUGUUGAUCCUGAGCUUGAGUUUGAACUCGAGCUUUGUUGCCCUCUCUGUUGAGAUGUUGAACUUGCACUUGAGUUUUGUGUACUCUGAGGGGUUUGAACUGGUGAGGUAUAAGGUAUCUGCAAGCUUUCUUCUUCAGGUUCAUACAUCUCACCAAUUUCAGUUUGUGCAGUUCUUUGCUCAGGAACAUCAACUUGCAGUGAUACUUUGUCUUGUUCUACUGCAUUUGUCUCCUAAUUCCACAAUGAUUCUUCAUCAAAAAUUACAUCUCUUGAGAGAUUGAUCUUCUUGGUUCUUAGAUUAUACAAUCUAUAACCUUUUUCAUUUGUGCCAUACCCAACAAAAAUGCACUUAUUGCUUGGUUCUUGUAACUUGUGUCUGAGUUGUGAUGGCACCAGUGCAUAACACACAGAGCCAAAAACCUUUAAGUGCUUGACUCCAGGCUUUCUUCCACUGAACACUUCGAAUGGAGUUUGCUUCUCCAAAGCUUUGGUAGGACAUCUGUUCAAGAGAUACACAGCAGUAUUCACAGCUUCUCCCCAAAAUGAAUAGGGUAUUUUCUUCUCAUGUAGCAUGGAUUUUGCCAUCUCCACUAUAGUCCUGUUCUUUCUCUCUGCAGUUCCAUUUUGUUGAGGAGUGUAAGCUACUGUGAGUUGCCUUUCUAGACCCAAAUCUUCACAGAAAGCUUUGAAUUCCAGUGAGGUAUACUCACCUCCCCUAUCACUCCUUAUCUUCUUGAUUUGAUGCCCACUUUGUAACUCCACCAUUGCUUUAAACUUCCUGAAUAUAUUGAAGACUUCUGAUUUGAACCUCAUAAAAUAUACCCAACACAUUCUUGAGUAGUCAUCUAUGAAAGUCAAGAAGUACUUGUUCCCACUGAUGGAUGCAUUUUUUCAUUGGACCACACACAUCAGUGUGAAUUAAUUCUAGAGGUUUCUCAGCCCUCCAAGCCUUUCCAGUUUCAAACUUGUCCCUGUGUUGUUUCCCAAAUGCAACAGCCUUCACAAACCUCCUUCAUUUCAUCCAUUUGAGGCAAACCUUGCACCAUUUCAUGUUUUUGCAGAUUUUUUAGACUUUGCACAUUCAAGUGCCCAAACCUUUUGUGCCAUAGUCUCUCUGACUCAAUUUUGCCUGCCUUCCUUGCCACUUCUUCCAAGCAUUUCAGCAACAAUGGAAAGCUUAUGUUUUUUCAUUUGAACUUUCACAACCAGAUUCAAUAGAGUUCUAUCAUCAUAUACUUCAGCAAUGGUAUCUCCAAACAACAAGAAAUAGCCAUGUUCCAUCAUCUGUGUCUAACACUUAAAAGGUUUUCCUCCAGACCAGGUACCAACAUGACUUCUUCAAUGUGUCUUCUUCCCUUCUUGGUUUCUAUGAUAAGAGUACCUCUGCCAGUUACUUUCACAAUAUCACCAUUUCCCAUCUUAACAUUUCCAGUGAAUGUAGUAUCAAUAUUAGUUAAUAGAGACUCAUGAGCAGUCAUAUGAUUACUGCACCCACUGUCUAUAUACCACACUUCACUGUCUUUUUACAACAUUGGCACUAAAAGCACAAAAGACAUUGUUUCCUUCUUGUUCUUGUUUUGCAAUGUUCACUUGCUGAAGUGGUGUUUAAUCUGCAAUCCUUCUGCAAAUGGCCAAAUCUAUUGCAUUUGUGACAUUUUGGCUUUCUUUUAAACCAACAUUCACCAAAAUGGGCUUUAUCACAGUAUCUGCACAAUGGUUUGGUUUUUCCACCCCCAUUGUUGCUUCCACUGUUGUAUUUGUUCUCUCCACUUGGUCUUCCUUCCCACUUCUUAUUUUUCCCUUUCCAAUCUCUCCUUGGUCUGUUUUGAUGCUGAUUAGAGUGAUUUGAUGACCCUAUGUUUAGUGACUGGAAGGCUUUCUCAGUUGCACCAUCAGAAUGCCUUUCGAGCCUUUGAUCAAAAGCUCUCAAGGAAGCCAUUACAUCUUGAACACUGAGUGUAUCAGUAUCCUUAGUUUCUUCUAUCACACUCACAAUAGAAUCAUAAGGCUUAGUCAAACUAAUUAGAAGUUUUUGCACUAUUCUUUCAUUAGGCAGUUCUUCUCCGUAAGUUUUCAUUUGAGUCACAACAUCAAACAGCCUAGAAACAUAGUCUUUAAAUGGCUCAUCUUCUCUCAUGCGUGUAUACUCAAAAUCACGUCUAAGAGACUGGAGUUUUACCUUCCGUACCUUCACAUCUCCUCUGUAUUCUUGUUGCAGGGUAUCCCAGGCAGCUUUGGCAGUUUCUUCAUUUGCUAUCCUUGGGAAUAUGACAUCGCAGAUAGCACCUUGAAUGAUUCCCAACGCUUUAGCAUCAUUCAUCCUGUUCUCCUUCAAUGUAGCUUAUCUGCUUCUCUGCGAGAUCCUCUUCUAGAGAAUCUACCUCCAAUUUCUGGUAACUCAUAUCCAUCUUGAACCAUUUCCCAGAGAUCAUACGACUUGAAGAUAGUUGUCAUCCGGAUCCUCCAAUAGUCGUAGUUUUCUCCAUCAAAGACUGGAGCUUUAAGUUCUCCUCCACCAGCUCCUUUCAUUUUUAACUUAUAUUGACAGUUAGGGUUUCAGCUUUUACCUGAACAACCCUCGAAAUAGGUUCCACAAUGACCAGAUUUCAGUGAUCAAGAACAAAGCUCUGAGGCCAUGUUAGUGUUUUGGAAGGUUUAUAUUUUGUAGAAAUGUUCUUGACAGGGUUUUUUGGUUAUGGAAAAACACAGAAAUGUAAGGAGGGAUUUUCGGCUAUUGCAGUCUGCUCUCUUUAGCAGCUCAUAGCAAACAUAUAUAUAUGCUGUCAGUAGGGUUUUGGUAUACAAGGUCAGAUCUUAUCUCCAUUGGAAGCUAGUUGACAAAAACCACAACUACCAUAUAGUACUAAGCUAAUCUAAGCCCUUCACUUGGAGCUUUUAAUCUAAGCCCUACACUUGUAAAAAAACAUUACUUAAAAACAACUAGCCGUUACAAAACUAGCCGUUAGCAUGUUGCUGCUUCAUUUCUUCGAUCAAACUGGAAGUGUUUAGCAUCCAACAAGAUUGAUCUUCGAAGUUGUGGUGAACGGAGAGGUUAUUGGAGACAAAUAUCAACUGCGGCGGAAAGAGUUUGCCCUUGUGGUUGUUGUUGAAGGAAAGCUUCAGCUUGGCGAGGCUGUCGAGCAGCUUGCAAGAGACCUUGUGGAAGAAGAUGGAGGAGUCGCUGUCGAACUCGGAAGUGGGUUGAACCGAAGGCCUCUUUGGGGAAGCUGAAUACGAGGGGAGUCCUCAAAGAUGUAGUUGGCAGAGACGGCGGCGGUGUUCGCAAAUGUCUUCAUUGGUGUUGUUGAAGUGUUUAGUGAUCGACGACGUCGCAGCGGGCUAUUGUCAAAGUCCAGGUGAGAAGGCAGUCCUCCGGUUCCAGUUUGUCGUGAAAAGUGAGAGAGCAUUCGGAGCCAUCACUAGGCACAGUGGUUUGGCACUGUUCCUUUAUGCAAGUCGUACUUCCAAAACUUCUUUAGGCACUCAUUCCUUCAUUGACGCGACUUCCUUGGGUUUAUUCUGGUUUUAUGCAACACGGCACAUCACCAAAACCCCAUCUCCUUCAAGCCAUAUACUCCAUUGACCUUCGGGUUCUUCUUGGUUUUAUGCAACACGGCAUUACCAAACCCAUCUCCUUCAAGCCGUAUCCUCCAUUGACGUGACUUCCUUCGGGUUCUUCUGGUUUAUGCAACACGGCAUUACCAAACCCAUCUCCUUCAAGCCACGUCCUGCGACUUCCUUCGGGUUCUUCUGGUUUUAUGCAACAUGGCAUCACCAAACCCAUCUCCUUCAAGCCACGUCCUGCGACUUCCUUCUAGGUUUUUCUGGUUUUAUGCAACACGGCAUCACCAAACCCAUCUCUUUCAAGCCGCAUAAUGUACGGACUUCAUCUGGAAAAUUACCAGAGACGAUGGUUGGAGAAAUGGCGCGACUGCUACUUCUGUUUGGGCUUCCGUCUGACGUCGGCAGUUGAUACAGCGUUAUGCAAAGAAGGAAAGGCUGCUGCUUGUUCGUCGUCACUACUGUUGCCUUGUUCGAAACCGUCCUUUGCAUUAUCGACGGGUUUCGGGACCAUCGCUGGGCACAAUGGGUUCUUCUUCUAAACUUGUUGAAACGUGGAAGAUGAUGGUUUCUUCUCUGUUGCAUUUCUGAAGAAACAAAGAAAAAUGUCGAAACUUCUUUAGACACCCAAGAGGCUUAUGGCAAACCGAUUUGCUACUGCAUUUUGGUGAGAUCUCCGUUGUUUUUUGUUUUUGUGGAGCUGCAAAUGUCUCCAUCGGUGGAGACAAAGAAAGAACACUCCGUGGGUGGAUGAGUUGACAGCGGCAAGGACGAAGAAGACGACAAACAUCUCCAAUGGUGGAGAAGAGGAAGGAAUAAGCCCAAGGACAUGUUUGGGGGGUCAGUGUGAAUUGAUGGUGCAUGUUUCCACCACCAUCUUCCUUUGCUUCGGUUAAACAAGAAGAAAAGAAACCCCCCCCAUUUUUCUGCAAAAGACGACAAGAACCUCCUAAUAAAAAUCAGGAAUCCAUUAUGAGAACGUAAAUACCUUUUUAAGCUUUCUCCUCUCUUUUGGCUUCUUGUUGCUGUUCCUUUUCGCUUUCUUUUGCUGCUUGUCUUUUUUCUUUUUUUUUUCCGUCAAUUUCCUUCCUCGUGUGCUUCUCAAUUUCUGCAGCGUUUUCUUAUCACCCCAUUCGUUGCAAUCUUUUCUCUCAAUUUCUGCAAAGUCUCUCUUCUUCUUUCUGUGUCUUCUGUCCUCUUUGCUUUGGUUCGAUGCUUUUUUAUAGGCGAACAGUGGACAUGGCAGUUGAAGUUAGUGGGAUGCAACUUUCCUGGGGUGUGGAGAUGUUGAGAGAAAACCAUCUCUUGAGUGGAGAACGUGGGAGUUUUAGAGGGUUAUAGAUACACACGUUCUCUAUACCCGGUUGCCAUGUAGAUGACAAACGCCUUCAGACUUGGUGUACGCUGAGGUCCACCUGUGCGGGUGUAGAGUUGUUUUUCCCUCUCUUUAUUUCUUAUAUAUAAAAUAUAGUAUAUAUAAGAAUAUAUGCACAUACACACAUAAAGUGAGCCUUAUUUAUAGUCAGUCCAUAUUUUGGACUCUAUUAUUAUUACUAUUAUUAUUUUGAAGUCUCCCCAUUUUUAUUAAGACUUGCUAAUAUAUUUUGUUUGUGAAAAUAUAUAGCUCAACAGUUGCCCCCUCAAGCAUCGUGCGUGGAAAUGGCUUUGACAUGUACGAGGCUUGAAAAUUUUUCUUUUCUCUAGCUCCAUUUAUGUUUUGAUUUGAUAAAAGCGUCCUUUUGUAUCUUUUAGCUUGAGCUUUCUUUUUGAGUUUUAGACUCAGUUUUCUCCUCUCUUAUUAACAGAGAAACAAUCUUGAAAGUUUGGAACAAAGGAUAGUUGAUGCUUUUUGCUGGGCUAGAGGUGGUGCUUGGUACUUCGUUUUGUUGACGGCAUUCCAGGAAAUGACAAGGUUGCCGCUGUUGCUGCUUGUGACCGAUGACGCAGCGACCGGGGACGUGCGAAGGUUGUUGCCUCUCUUGUUGAGAGGCUUGGUUUCAACCUUUCUUUAGUUGCAGGUUUCUAGAGGUUUUGCUCUAUUUUUGCCGAGAAAAGAGAGGGAGAGACUCUCUGAAAUUUUGAUUGAUGAAGAAGAAGGUUGAUCCUCCUAACCUUGCUGGGAAUCAGUGCAAGUCCCACCAUUUGCUUUGCUUUGGGGAGUGGGAAAGCAAAGCUUCUCCAUUUUUUUUCAAAAGCUGAAACAUAAUGACAAAGGAUCCAUAAACCUCUUUUUUUUUUUUUUUUUUUUUUUUUUUUUUUUUAUGCCCUUGCCAUGUACUCUUUCUGCUUGUUUUCCUCUUCUAUUUUUCUUGUCUUAUCUCCCCUGUUGUGUGCUUUCCUCUCUCGUCCUCUUUCCGUCGAUCUCUUCGUAACCAAGGAUGCAUGAUAAUUAUUUUGAUGACUUUGACAGUCUCAUUCUAUUACCUACAUGAAUUGACUAUGCAUAUGCAUAAUAUAUUUUGUUUGUGAAAAUAUAUAGCUCAACAGUCUCAUUCUAUUACCUACAUGAAUUGACUAUGCAUAUGCAACAACUAUAAAAAACAUCGGUUGGAAUCAUGAUCGAUGAAUAUGUUAUCAUGAUCAUUUUUGUAUUUGUUUGCCUAACAAACCAAAUAAUUAUCAGAUUCAGUGCAGAUUGAGUAUGAUCGUUAUCGCAUCAUUAAUUGUUAACGUGUGAAAUCUUGAGGCCGAGCCGCCCCUGGCCUCUGGUUCCCGAUGCCGGUCGUACUCUAAGCAAGUUCAUUUCUUAUUCGUUGUCUUAGGCAAUCAUUAUGGACAACAAUUUUUGGAAGAAGAAGAGCAAGAAGAGUAGCAGUAGAACACUCACGAGUACAUGUAUUAUUGAUCAUAUAUACAUAUCUGAAUAACAAGCUUACAUCUUAGGGAUGACAUAUUGAAUUAACAUUGCAUUAAUCAUGCCUUAUAUUACGCAAGUACUAAAUGAAAAGAAGCCUGGAUUUAAACAAUCUACAAACUGCAAACUGCAAGGAUGAACUGAUGUACUGAAAACAUGUUUUAUUCUGUAAAGGAAAAAUUCAAACCUAAAGCCAUACACCAGAAUGGUGCUGGUUUUGUUGGUCAUUCAUGGCAACAAAACGCCGAGUCACUCUGACUCAUUGACUGAAGUAAAAUGUGGGGUGGCAAUUAGGUACAACGCAUUCUUUCUCUUACAGGUCACUCCAAAGGUCUCCGUCAUGUCAAGUUCGUCUGGAUUCAUCCCAUUCGCCAGUUUCCAAUCGAAGCGGUAGAGCAAUUCAGCAAGAGCAAGUUCAACCAUGGUAACACCAAAUAACAUGCCUGGACACAUUCUUCUGCCGGCCCC
This 12615-nucleotide long non-coding RNA is filed under the name Malus domestica (apple). RNAcentral describes it as "long non-coding RNA (MDOM_LNC019252)". Lineage: Eukaryota; Viridiplantae; Streptophyta; Magnoliopsida; Rosales; Rosaceae. The record is from RNAcentral.